RNAcentral lists this ribosomal RNA (425 nucleotides) under Galathea connudata. RNAcentral describes it as "partial 16S ribosomal RNA". The stretch from base 293 to 425 matches the Rfam family "Bacterial large subunit ribosomal RNA", at positions 2473 to 2606 of the family's 2925-position model. The record is from RNAcentral. Lineage: Eukaryota; Metazoa; Arthropoda; Malacostraca; Decapoda; Galatheidae.
UUUUAAUUGAAGGCUUGUAUGAAGGGUUGGACAAAGGAUAAGCUGUCUUUAUUUUUGUUUUUGAAUUUGUCUUUUAAGUGAAAAGACUUAAAUUAUUUUAAGGGACGAUAAGACCCUAUAAAUCUUUAUAUUAAUAUAUUUUCAUUUUAAUUUUUAAUGUUUAUAAAAAAGAAAAUAUAAAAUAUUGUGUUGGGGUGAUAAGAAUAAAAAAUAAACUGUUCUAAAAAGAAACAAAGUUAUUUGUAAAUAUAAUAGAUCCUUUUUAAAGAUUAAAAGUUUAAGUUACUUUAGGGAUAACAGCGUUAUUUUUUUUGAGAGUUCUAAUCGAAAAAAAAGUUUGCGACCUCGAUGUUGAAUUAAAAUUUCUUUUUGGUGUAGCCGCUAUAUAAGAGAGUCUGUUCGACUUUUAAAGUUUUACGUGAUCU